This 726-nucleotide long non-coding RNA is filed under the name Malus domestica (apple). Its description in RNAcentral is "long non-coding RNA (MDOM_LNC016561)". The record is from RNAcentral. Lineage: Eukaryota; Viridiplantae; Streptophyta; Magnoliopsida; Rosales; Rosaceae.
UACCGAUAUUUCCGAUAUCAUCGAUAUUUUAUACCUUGCCUACAGUUGAACCUAAGGGAGUAAAUCUGUUGGUGACGGCUAAGGCCGAUGAUGAAGAAUCGGGAAUAGAUUCCUUUUUUACUGGUGGUGGAGGUGGAAGAGUGGCUGGAAACCUUCUCUAACUUGAAAAAUAGAUAGUUCAGAUCGUUGAAGUUUGAUGUGGUGUAGACUCCACAACUAAUUUUUAUUUUUAUUUUCCUUCCAAGAACUAUUCGUUGAACUAGCAAGGAAAACAAUUCAAAGCACGACAACCUGAAGAAUGUUAAGGUUCUAUCGUGAAACCAAUUAUUAAUAUGGAGAGUAGCCUAACUACUUAUAAGCAUAAUUUUUUUUUUCCGAUGUGAGAUUCAUACUCUUACCAUGUCCCCUCCUAUGUGGCUAAUUUUCAAGCUAUAAUACAUGAACUACACAAAUUAGGUGAUGCAGAACACAUGUCAUUUUUAGAUUUCACACAUGAGAUAAUCUGUGCUGAUACAAUGACGAAAGUUGAGAUUUCACCAUAAAACAAAUUGUUAAUAUAGGGAGCAGCUCAACUACUUAUAAGUAAUGCAAGGUCCAUUCUUUUCUUGAUGUGAGAUUUAUACUCUAAACAAAAACGUCAUAACCCAACACAAAAUUGUCAUUAAUAAGAAACAACAACAACAACAACAAAGCCUUUUCCCACUAAGUGGGGUCGGCUAUAUGAAU